GGAUUGACGAUGACUUUAAAAAAAAAAAAGAAUCUCACUGAAAUCUGAAAAAAAUGAGUGACCAGAGCACUUCUGUGUGCUGAGGUCC
Molecule: small nucleolar RNA, 88 nt
Filed under: Chlorocebus sabaeus (green monkey)
Lineage: Eukaryota; Metazoa; Chordata; Mammalia; Primates; Cercopithecidae
Description: Small nucleolar RNA SNORD116 (ENSCSAG00000024008.1)
Source: RNAcentral